Molecule: ribosomal RNA, 301 nt
Filed under: uncultured bacterium
Lineage: Bacteria
Description: partial 16S ribosomal RNA
Rfam family: Bacterial small subunit ribosomal RNA
Source: RNAcentral
CAGCCGCCGCGGUAAUACGGAGGGGGCUAGCGUUGUUCGGAUUUACUGGGCGUAAAGGGCGCGUAGGCGGGCGAAUAAGGCAGGGGUGAAAUCCCAAGGCUCAACCUUGGAACUGCCUUUGAUACUGUUUGUCUUGAGUUCGAGAGAGGUAAGUGGAACUGCGAGUGUAGAGGUGAAAUUCGUAGAUAUUCGCAAGAACACCAGUGGCGAAGGCGGCUUACUGGCUCGAAACUGACGCUGAGGCGCGAAAGCGUGGGGAGCAAACAGGAUUAGAUACCCCCGUAGUCCCUGUCUCUUAUAC